ACGGGGCCCGCACAAGCAGUGGAGUAUGUGGUUUAAUUCGAAGCAACGCGAAGAACCUUUACCAGGGCUUGACAUCCCUUGAAGCAGCUAGAGAUAGCUGUGUCCUUCGGGACAAGGAGACAGGUGGUGCAUGGUUGUCGUCAGCUCGUGUCGUGAGAUGUUGGGUUAAGUCCCGCAACGAGCGCAACCCCUGUGGUUAGUUGCCAGCAAGUAGCGUUGGGCACUCUAGCCAGACUGCCGGUGAUAAAUCGGAGGAAGGUGGGGACGACGUCAAAUCAUCAUGCCCUUUAUGUCCUGGGCUACACACGUACUACAAUGGUUGGUACAACGAGUUGCGAGUCGGUGACGGCGAGCUAAUCUCUUAAAGCCAAUCUCAGUUCGGAUUGUAGGCUGCAACUCGCCUACAUGAAGUCGGAAUCGCUAGUAAUCGCGGAUCAGCACGCCGCGGUGAAUACGUUCCCGGGCCUU
Molecule: ribosomal RNA, 468 nt
Filed under: uncultured Streptococcus sp.
Lineage: Bacteria; Bacillati; Bacillota; Bacilli; Lactobacillales; Streptococcaceae
Description: bacterial SSU rRNA
Rfam family: Bacterial small subunit ribosomal RNA
Source: RNAcentral